Molecule: ribosomal RNA, 324 nt
Filed under: uncultured eukaryote
Lineage: Eukaryota
Description: partial 18S ribosomal RNA
Rfam family: Eukaryotic small subunit ribosomal RNA
Source: RNAcentral
CCCUUAGAUGUCCUGGGCUGCACGCGCGCUACACUGAUGUGUCCAGUGAGCACCUAACCUCUUCCGAAAGGAACGGGUAACCUUUGCAAAGCACAUCGUGAUGGGGAUAGAUUAUUGCAAUUAUUAGUCUUGAACGAGGAAUUCCUAGUAAGCACAAGUCAUCAGCUUGUGUUGAUUACGUCCCUGCCCUUUGUACACACCGCCCGUCGCUCCUACCGAUUGAAUGUUCCGGUGAGCUCUUCGGACUGCGCGGUCUGCAGUUUCUGCGUUCCGUGCGGAAAGUUGCGCAAACCUUAACAUUUAGAGGAAGGAGAAGUCGUAACA